Acanthosepion pharaonis is the source of this 114-nucleotide non-coding RNA. NCBI's taxonomy places the organism in Eukaryota, Metazoa, Mollusca, Cephalopoda, Sepiida, Sepiidae. The record is from the annotation of a GenBank genome assembly.
UUGCAGCCAUAUCAUGUUGAAAGAUCAGUUCUCAACGGAUCACCAAAGUUAAGCAAUAUCGAGUCUAGUCCGUACCUAGAUGGGUAACUGCUUAGGAAUACCAGGUGCUGUAAG